This 876-nucleotide ribosomal RNA is filed under the name uncultured archaeon. Its description in RNAcentral is "bacterial SSU rRNA". It matches the Rfam family "Archaeal small subunit ribosomal RNA", at positions 31 to 913 of the family's 1478-position model. The record is from RNAcentral.
UAUCGGAUUGAUACUAAGCCAUGCGAGUCAUUGUAGCAAUACAAGGCAUACGGCUCAGUAACGCGUAGUCAACCUAACCUAUGGACGGGAAUAACCUCGGGAAACUGAGAAUAAUGCCCGAUAGAACAUUAUGCCUGGAAUGGUUUAUGUUCCAAAUGAUUUAUCGCCGUAGGGUGGGACUGCGGCCUAUCAGUUUGUUGGUGAGGUAAUGGCCCACCAAGACUAUUACAGGUACGGGCUCUGAGAGGAGUAGCCCGGAGAUGGGUACUGAGACACGGACCCAGGCCCUAUGGGGCGCAGCAGGCGAGAAAACUUUGCAAUGUGCGAAAGCACGACAAGGUUAAUCCGAGUGGUUUCUGCUAAAGGAACCUUUUGUCAGUCCUAGAAACACUGAUGAAUAAGGGGUGGGCAAGUUCUGGUGUCAGCCGCCGCGGUAAAACCAGCACCUCAAGUGGUCAGGAUGAUUAUUGGGCCUAAAGCAUCCGUAGCCGGCUCUGUAAGUUUUCGGUUAAAUCUGUACGCUCAACGUACAGGCUGCCGGGAAUACUGCAAAGCUAGGGAGUGGGAGAGGUAGACGGUACUCGGUAGGAAGGGGUAAAAUCCUUUGAUCUAUUGAUGACCACCUGUGGCGAAGGCGGUCUACCAGAACACGUCCGACGGUGAGGGGUGAAAGCUGGGGGAGCAAACCGGAUUAGAUACCCGGGUAGUCCCAGCUGUAAACCAUGCAAACUCAGUGAUGCAUUGGCUUGUGGCCAAUGCAGUGCUGCAGGGAAGCCGUUAAGUUUGCCGCCUGGGAAGUACGUACGCAAGUAUGAAACUUAAAGGAAUUGGCGGGGGAGCACCACAAGGGGUGAAGCCUGCGGUUCAAUUGGAGUC